GGACUGAUGUAUCCACAGAUAUACCACAUACUGACCAAGGUAACACAGAGGACUGAUGUAUCCACAGAUAUACCACAUACUGACCAAGGUAACACAGAGGACUGAUGUAUCCACAGAUAUACCACAUACUGACCAAGGUAACACAGAGGACUGAUGUAUCCACAGAUAUACCACAUACUGACCAAGGUAACACAGAGGACUGAUGUAUCCACAGAUAUACCACAUACUGACCAAGGUAACACAGAGGACUGAUGUAUCCACAGAUAUACCACAUACUGACCAAGGUAACACAGAGGACUGAUGUAUCCACAGAUAUACCACAUACUGACCAAGGUAACGCAGAGGACUGAUGUAUCCACAGAUAUACCACAUACUGACCAAGGUAACACAGAGGACUGAUGUAUCCACAGAUAUACCACAUACUGACCAAGGUAACGCAGAGGACUGAUGUAUCCACAGAUAUACCACAUACUGACCAAGGUAACACAGAGGACUGAUGUAUCCACAGAUAUACCACAUACUGACCAAGGUAACACAGAGGACUGUUGUAUCCACAGAUAUACCACAUACUGACCAAGGUAACACAGAGGACUGAUGUAUCCACAGAUAUACCACAUACUGACCAAGGUAACGCAGAGGACUGAUGUAUCCACAGAUAUACCACAUACUGACCAAGGUAACGCAGAGGACUGAUGUAUCCACAGAUAUACCACAUACUGACCAAGGUAACACAGAGGACUGAUGUAUCCACAGAUAUACCACAUAUUGACCAAGGUAACGCAGAGGACUGAUGUAUCCACAGAUAUACCACAUACUGACCAAGGUAACACAGAGGACUGAUGUAUCCACAGAUAUACCACAUACUGACCAAGGUAACACAGAGGACUGAUGUAUCCACAGAUAUACCACAUACUGACCAAGGUAACGCAGAGGACUGAUGUAUCCACAGAUAUACCACAUACUGACCAAGGUAACGCAGAGGACUGAUGUAUCCACAGAUAUACCACAUACUGACCAAGGUAACACAGAGGACUGAUGUAUCCACAGAUAUACCACAUACUGACCAAGGUAACGCAGAGGACUGAUGUAUCCACAGAUAUACCACAUACUGACCAAGGUAACGCAGAGGACUGAUGUAUCCACAGAUAUACCACAUACUGACCAAGGUAACGCAGAGGACUGAUGUAUCCAUAGAUAUACCACAUACUGACCAAGGUAACGCAGAGGACUGAUGUAUCCACAUACUGACCAAGGUAACACAGAGGACUGAUGUAUCCACAGAUAUACCACAUACUGACCAAGGUAACACAGAGGACUGAUGUAUCCACAGAUAUACCACAUACUGACCAAGGUAACGCAGAGGACUGAUGUAUCCACAGAUAUACCACAUACUGACCAAGGUAACACAGAGGACUGUUGUAUCCACAGAUAUACCACAAACUGACCAAGGUAACACAGAGGACUGAUGUAUCCACAGAUAUACCACAUACUGACCAAGGUAACGCAGAGGACUGAUGUAUCCACAGAUAUACCACAUACUGACCAAGGUAACGCAGAGGACUGAUGUAUCCACAGAUAUACCACAUACUGACCAAGGUAACGCAGAGGACUGAUGUAUCCACAGAUAUACCACAUACUGACCAAGGUAACGCAGAGGACUGAUGUAUCCACAGAUAUACCACAUACUGACCAAGGUAACAGACACAGAGGACUGAUGUAUCCACAGAUAUACCACAUACUGACCAAGGUAACAGACACAGAGGACUGAUGUAUCCACAGAUAUACCACAUACUGACCAAGGUAACACAGAGGACUGAUGUAUCCACAGAUAUACCACAUACUGACCAAGGUAACGCAGAGGACUGAUGUAUCCACAGAUAUACCACAUACUGACCAAGGUAACACAGAGGACUGUUGUAUCCACAGAUAUACCACAUACUGACCAAGGUAACACAGAGGACUGAUGUAUCCACAGAUAUACCACAUACUGACCAAGGUAACGCAGAGGACUGAUGUAUCCACAGAUAUACCACAUACUGACCAAGGUAACGCAGAGGACUGAUGUAUCCACAGAUAUACCACAUACUGACCAAGGUAACACAGAGGACUGAUAUAUCCACAGAUAUACCACAUACUGACCAAGGUAACGCAGAGGACUGAUGUAUCCACAGAUAUACCACAUACUGACCAAGGUAACAGACACAGAGGACUGAUGUAUCCACAGAUAUACCACAUACUGACCAAGGUAACAGACACAGAGGACUGAUGUAUCCACAGAUAUACCACAUACUGACCAAGGUAACACAGAGGACUGAUGUAUCCACAGAUAUACCACAUACUGACCAAGGUAACACAGAGGACUGAUGUAUCCACAGAUAUACCACAUACUGACCAAGGUAACGCAGAGGACUGAUGUAUCCACAGAUAUACCACAUACUGACCAAGGUAACGCAGAGGACUGAUGUAUCCACAGAUAUACCACAUACUGACCAAGGUAACGCAGAGGACUGAUGUAUCCACAGAUAUACCACAUACUGACCAAGGUAACACAGAGGACUGAUGUAUCCACAGAUAUACCACAUACUGACCAAGGUAACGCAGAGGACUGAUGUAUCCACAGAUAUACCACAUACUGACCAAGGUAACAGACACAGAGGACUGAUGUAUCCACAGAUAUACCACAUACUGACCAAGGUAACACAGAGGACUGAUGUAUCCACAGAUAUACCACAUACUGACCAAGGUAACACAGAGGACUGAUGUAUCCACAGAUAUACCACAUACUGACCAAGGUAACACAGAGGACUGAUGUAUCCACAGAUAUACCACAUACUGACCAAGGUAACACAGAGGACUGAUGUAUCCACAGAUAUACCACAUACUGACCAAGGUAACGCAGAGGACUGAUGUAUCCACAGAUAUACCACAUACUGACCAAGGUAACGCAGAGGACUGACGUAUCCACAGAUAUACCACAUACUGACCAAGGUAACACAGAGGACUGAUGUAUCCACAGAUAUACCACAUACUGACCAAGGUAACACAGAGGACUGAUGUAUCCACAGAUAUACCACAUACUGACCAAGGUAACACAGAGGACUGAUGUAUCCACAGAUAUACCACAUACUGACCAAGGUAACGCAGAGGACUGACGUAUCCACAGAUAUACCACAUACUGACCAAGGUAACACAGAGGACUGACGUAUCCACAGAUAUACCACAUACUGACCAAGGUAACACAGAGGACUGACGUAUCCACAGAUAUACCACAUACUGACCAAGGUAACACAGAGGACUGACGUAUCCACAGAUAUACCACAUACUGACCAAGGUACUACAGACAGGCUCUUUGUUAUGGUAAUCCAUAAUGAAUCAGUAAGGCCUGAGGAGGUGUUGGAUAUGGCCACACACUGCGGAGUGCUAGGACACAGCCCUUAGCAUUGGUGUAUAACACCAACCCCUGAAGGCCUUAUUGCUAUUAUAAACUGGAUUAUGACGUAGUUAGAGGAAUAAUAAUACGCCCUUUGUCAUACAUGUGGUAUUCCGUGGCUUUCAGCCAAUAAGCAUUUACGUCUCGAACUCCCCAGUUUCUGAUGUCCAAUAAUGACUUCCUCUUCUGCCUCUAUCUGUUAGUGUGUCUGUAGGGCUGCAGAGUAACAGGUGAAUGUGCAUCUCUGGCCUCAAGCCUCCGGUGACACUUAAAAGGGGCAAUCAGCAGUUGUUCUCUCUCAUCCCUCUCCCUCCAUCCCCCUCUCUCUCUCUCUCUCUCUCUCUCUCUCUCUCUCCAUCCCUCCCUCUAUUCCUCUCUCUCUCUCUCUCUCUC
Molecule: long non-coding RNA, 3823 nt
Organism: Salvelinus fontinalis (brook trout)
Lineage: Eukaryota; Metazoa; Chordata; Actinopteri; Salmoniformes; Salmonidae
Exons: 3
Source: RefSeq, a predicted model, not a curated record